This 429-nucleotide ribosomal RNA is filed under the name Bacillota bacterium. RNAcentral describes it as "Firmicutes bacterium partial 16S ribosomal RNA". It matches the Rfam family "Bacterial small subunit ribosomal RNA", at positions 355 to 776 of the family's 1533-position model. The record is from RNAcentral. Lineage: Bacteria; Bacillati; Bacillota.
UAGGGAAUCUUCGGCAAUGGACGGAAGUCUGACCGAGCAACGCCGCGUGAGUGAAGAAGGUUUUCGGAUCGUAAAGCUCUGUUGUUAGAGAAGAACGUUGGUAGGAGCGGAAAAUCUACCAAGUGACGGUAACUAACCAGAAAGGGACGGCUAACUACGUGCCAGCAGCCGCGGUAAUACGUAGGUCCCGAGCGUUGUCCGGAUUUAUUGGGCGUAAAGCGAGCGCAGGCGGUUCUUUAAGUCUGAAGUUAAAGGCAGUGGCUUAACCAGUGUACGCAUUGGAAACUGGAGGACUUGAGUGCAGAAGGGGAGAGUGGAAUUCCAUGUGUAGCGGUGAAAUGCGUAGAUAUAUGGAGGAACACCGGUGGCGAAAGCGGCUCUCUGGUCUGUAACUGACGCUGAGGCUCGAAAGCGUGGGGAGCAAACAGG